GGCCCCGAGUUCCCGAAAAUACACGUUCAAAGACCACCAACAAUUUUGCUUUUAACCUCUCUGGUCUCUAGCUCUGUGCUGAUGCUGCUGCUAUUACUACUCUCUCCAUUGCUCUAUCCUACCCUGUGAAUCGCCAAAACAUCGAUAACCCUCCUGCCUGACGGCGAUGGACGACGGUGCCGUAGCAAACAAUGUGGCUAGAGCCAUAGUUGCUGCCCUAGACUGGAGCUCCUCUUCCGAUGCCAGGAACUCCGCCGUCUCUUACUUAGAAUCUAUUAAAGCUGGGGAUGUACGUGUCUUGGCAAACACAUCGUUUAUUUUAGUCAAAAAGGACUGGUCUUCAGAAAUUCGGUUGCAUGCUUUCAAAAUGUUGCAGCAUUUGGUGCGAUUGCGAUGGGAUGAAUUAAACCCGAUCGAGCGAAGGAAUUUGGCAAAUGGUGCAGUUGAUUUGAUGUCUCAAAUUGCAAGCCCUUCUGAAGAAUGGGCUUUGAAAAGUCAGAUGGCUGCUCUUGUUGCUGAGAUAGUGAGGAGGGAAGGCCUAAACCUAUGGCAGGAGCUUCUUCCAUCUCUAGUUUCUCUUUCAAACAGUGGUCCUAUACAAGCUGAGUUGAUUUCAAUGAUGCUAAGGUGGCUUCCUGAAGACAUUACUGUACAUAAUGAAGAUUUAGAAGGUGACCGGCGCAGACUAUUGUUACGCGGGCUUACUCAGUCUUUGCCUGAAAUCUUGCCGUUACUAUAUACUUUACUUGAGCGGCACUUUGGAGCUGCGGUGAGUGAAGCAAGUAGGCAACAACUGGAUAUUGCAAAACUGCAUGCAGCUACAGUAACGGCUACUUUGAAUGCUAUCAAUGCGUAUGCUGAGUGGGCUCCUGUACCGGAUCUCUCCAAAUAUGGAUUGAUACAUGGGUGUGGUUUCUUACUUUCUUCUCCUGAUUUUCGACUUCAUGCUUGUGAGUUUUUCAAACUCGUCUCAUCAAGGAAGAGACCUGUUGAUGACACUGCUUCAGAAUUUGAUUCCACAAUGAGUAAUAUCUUUCAGAUAUUGAUGAAUGUCUCUGGAGAUUUCUUGAUCAGAUCUAGCUCAAAUGUUGGUGGCACUGAUGAAAGUGAAUUUGAGUUUGCGGAAUACAUUUGCGAGAGUAUGGUGUCUUUGGGUUCCUCAAACUUGCAAUGUAUAACUGAGGAUAGCACAACUCUAUCAUUAUAUGUUCAGCAGAUGCUAGGAUACUACCAGCAUAUGAAGCUGGUGCUUCAUUAUCAAUCUCUGCUUUUUUGGCUGGCACUGCUGAGAGAUAUUGCAUCCAAACAAAAGAAUGUGGCACAUGCAUCUACAGAUGGUUUAGUUAAAAAUCUGACGUCUGGUUUGGGACAAGGCGUCAAUGAAAAGCAAAAGGUUUCAAUUUUUGUGACCAAUGAUGUCUGUAGUUGUCUACUGGAUAUAUCCUUCCAACGCAUGCUCAAGAAAGAAAGAGUUCUUCCUGGAUCAGCACUUCCUGUUGGGUCACUGGAACUAUGGAGUGAUGAUCUUGAGGGCAAAGGAGAUUUCGGCCAAUAUCGUUCCAAGCUUUUGGAGCUUAUCCGUAUUAUUGCUUCUAUUAAACCCAUAAUAGCUGCUGCUAACAUUUCUGGGAGGAUAACUGCAAUUAUUAAGAGUAUCAUGCUUGCUGCAGUGCCUGCACAGGAAUUGUUUGUAAUGGAAAGCAUGCAAUCGGCUCUGGAGAAUGUUGUUGUUGUAGUUUUUGAUGGAUCAAAUGACUCUGGUGGCAGUUUAUCUGAAACUCAACUGGAAUUGUGCCGGAUAUUUGAAGGUUUACUUCAGCAACUUCUUUCCUUGAAGUGGACUGAGCCGACACUUGUGGAAGUACUCGGGCAUUACAUAGACGCGAUGGGUCCCUUUUUGAAAUACUUCCCGGAUGGGGUUGGCAGUGUCAUCAACAAACUGUUUGAGCUUCUAACCAUAUUGCCUUUCGUGUUGAAGGAUCCCUCAACAAGUACUGCUCGACAUGCAAGGUUGCAGAUUUGUACAUCAUUUAUUCGAAUUGCCAAAGCUGCUGACAAAAGCCUUCUGCCUCAUAUGAAGGGAAUUGCAGACACCAUGGCAUAUUUGCAAAAAGAAGGCCGUUUGCUUCGUGCGGAGCAUAAUCUGUUGGGUGAAGCAUUUCUUGUCAUGGCUUCUGCAUCUGGGGUUCAACAGCAGCAAGAAGUUUUAGCCUGGUUACUCGAACCUUUGAGUAAAGAGUGGACACAGCUGGACUGGCAAAAUGCUUACUUGUCUGACCCAACAGGCUUGGUUCGCUUGUGCUCUGAGACUCAAUUUAUGUGGUCACUUUUUCACACUGUGACCUUUUUUGAGAAGGCUCUUAAGAGGAGUGGUUUCAGGAAAGCCACAAUAAGCUCACAGAACAACUCAGCAGGAUGUUCCGGUCCUUUGCAUCCAAUGGCUUCUCAUCUAUCGUGGAUGCUGCCUCCUCUGUUAAAAAUACUUCGAGCUAUACAUUCCCUUUGGUCUCCAUCUGUAACUCAAGCAUUACCUGCAGAAAUAAAAGGAGCAAUGGCCAUAAGUGAUGCUGAGGGAACCACUCUUCUUGGCGAAGCAAACUCGAAAUUGUCAAAGGGGGCAUUAACUUUGUCUGAUUUAUCUCAAAUUGACUUGCAUAAGGAAGGUUAUCCAGAAUCUAAUGAGAUUGAUAUGCGAAAUUGGUUGAAAGGUAUACGCGAUAGUGGGUACAAUGUACUGGGCUUAUCAGCAACCAUUGGGGAUUCAUUUUUCAAAUGUUUGGACGUUCAUCAUGUUGCCCUAGCACUGGUGGAGAAUAUUCAGUCAAUGGAGUUCAGGCAUAAAAGACAGCUCGUUCAUUCAAUCUUGAUUCCAUUAGUAAAAUGCUGCCCUCCAGGUUUGUGGGAGGGGUGGCUAGAGAAGCUCCUGCACCCAUUGCUUCUCUGUAUUCAGCAGGCUCUUAGCUGCUCAUGGUCCAGUCUGUUACAGGAAGGCAGAGCAAAGGUUCCAGAUCUACAUGGAAUAGUUUCUGGAUCAGACUUGAAGGUUGAAGUAAUGGAGGAAAAGCUACUUCGAGGGCUAACUCGUGAGAUUUGUUCGCUCCUCUCAGUUUUAGCUUCAUCAGGACUAAAUGCUGGGCUUCCUAAUUUAGAACAGUCGGGACAUGUCAACCGUGUGGAUGCAUCAUCUCUCAAAGAUUUGGAUGCAUUUGCGUCAACUUCACUUGUUGGUUUUGUUUUGAAGACAAAAGCCCUUGCCCUUCCGGCAUUGCAGAUUACUUUAGAUGCUUUGAAAUGGACUGAUGGUGAAGCUGUGACUAAAGUUUCCUCCUUUUGCGGAGCUGUGAUUCUUCUGGCCAUCUCAUCCAAUAAUGUGGAACUCAGACAAUUUGUCUCAAAAGAUUUAUUUUACGGAAUCAUCCAAGGGUUGGCCCUCGAGUCAAAUGCUUUUAUUAGUGCUGAUCUGGUUGGUCUCUGCCGUGAAAUCUUCUUGUAUCUCUCUGAUAGAGACCCGGCACCCAGGCAGAUCUUGCUCUCUCUUCCUUGCAUUGCUCCCCAAGAUUUGCUUGCUUUUGAAGAAGCCUUGACAAAGACAACUAGUCCUAAGGAACAAAAGCAACAUAUGAGGAGCUUGCUCAUACUAGCUACAGGAAACAAGUUAAAGGCACUUGCUGCUCAGAAAAGCGUGAAUGUAAUUACCAAUGUUUCGACAAGACCACGCAAUUUGGUCUCUGCUCCAGAAUCCAAGAUUGGAGAAGAGGAUGAUGCUAUAGGAUUGGCAGCCAUUACAUGAAUGAAAAGUUGUGUCAGAUUCCGCUGUACAGUGACGACUAACUCUGAAGGCACCCAUUAUUUUGGGCAGAAGUCUACAAAAGAGUUCAGCUUAGGCAAACCGGAGCUAAAAUUCUUGGGAUUGGGUGUCCGCUCCUAAGGAUGGAGGCUUGGGUUUAAGCCUUUUAAAACCUGGAAUAAAGCAACGAUGAUUAGGCAUCUCUGGGCCUUGAGCAAGAAAUAUGAUUCUUUGUGCUGUUCGAUGGGCUCACUCUUACAUUAUAAAACAUAAGUGUCUUUGGCAGAUGUGCAUACCUCAGGACUCUUCUUGGACGAUU
RNA transcript from Rhododendron vialii, 4106 nucleotides. It is a transcript of the gene named protein HASTY 1, with no coding region annotated. NCBI's taxonomy places the organism in Eukaryota, Viridiplantae, Streptophyta, Magnoliopsida, Ericales, Ericaceae. The record is from RefSeq and is a predicted model, not a curated record. The transcript is spliced from 23 exons.